Molecule: long non-coding RNA, 782 nt
Filed under: Homo sapiens (human)
Lineage: Eukaryota; Metazoa; Chordata; Mammalia; Primates; Hominidae
Description: HSALNT0129900
Source: RNAcentral
UCACCUCUAUUCCAUGACUCUCGAAUCUGUAUUCUCACUCAAUUUUUCACUGACACUCUAAUUCAGGUGCCCACAAGCAUCUCCAGCCGGACCUGUCAUCAUCACAGACUCUACGUGCUUCAAACUGAAAUCAUUGUCACCAUUCUCAUUACUCCUUCUCACAGCCUCACUAGGUUCUGCCGCCUAGGCUUAAAAGCCUGGAGCCAUCCGUUUGUUCAUUCAACAAUUACUCACAUGUGUAUCUUUUGUGUCCUAUAGCCUUUCUAGCCCACCAUAACCAAAAUUUUAGCCCCUUUUAUUCCAACUCAAAAUGUCAUCUUCCUUUCUCUCCAGUUAUCCCAGUCAUAGCUACCUUCAAGGCUCAAUUUUAGUCCUAAGUCAUCUCUCCCUUCUCUGAAUGUCUGAUGCAUUUAUUUGCCAUAGUAUCAUUUGGGUACUUAAUACAACACUGCUUUGCACAGUUACCUGUUUCGUGAGUUACGUUUUACACCGUCAGUUAUGUUACAUAGACAUACUUCCAAGCUCUGGAUGAAAGGAACUGUAUGGAUUUUUUUAAAGGACCUGUCUACCCUGGCACAUAAGUAAAUGAGCUGAGCUUUAUGCAAUGCUUAUCUCAGGACCUGGUGCAAAAUAACAGCCUAAAAAUAUAGGUUUGAAAAAAUCGUGAGAAACAUUUGGUAAACUGAAUAAGACUGAACUGCACAAAACGCUCCCCCAAAAUGUCCGCAGCCCCGGUUUUGCCUCUUCUACCAGCUCUAGUGGAAGGCUAUGAAUACUGGACC